GACGAACGCUGGCGGCGUGCCUAAUACAUGCAAGUCGAGCGGACUUUCAAGAAGCUUGCUUUUUGAAAGUUAGCGGCGGACGGGUGAGUAACACGUGGGCAACCUGCCUGUAAGACGGGGAUAACUCCGGGAAACCGGGGCUAAUACCGGAUAAUAUCUUUCUUCGCAUGAAGGAAGGUUGAAAGGCAGCGCAAGCAGCCGCUUGCCGAUUGGCCCGGGGCGCAUUAGCUAGGUGGUGAGGUAACGGCUCACCAAGGCGACGAUGCGUAGCCGACCUGAGAGGGUGAUCGGCCACACUGGGACUGAGACACGGCCCAGACUCCUACGGGAGGCAGCAGUAGGGAAUCUUCCGCAAUGGACGAAAGUCUGACGGAGCAACGCCGCGUGUGCGAAGAAGGUCUUCGGAUCGUAAAGCUCUGUUGUCAGGGAAGAACAAGUACCGUUCGAAUAGGGCGGUACCUUGACGGUACCUGACCAGAAAGCCACGGCUAACUACGUGCCAGCCGCCGCCGUAA
Molecule: ribosomal RNA, 515 nt
Filed under: uncultured bacterium
Lineage: Bacteria
Description: partial 16S ribosomal RNA
Rfam family: Bacterial small subunit ribosomal RNA
Source: RNAcentral